UAUUGCAAAUAUCUACAAGAACCGAAGACUUCAUUGUUGAUACACUGAAACUUCGGGUUCAUAUUGGUCCAUAUCUGCCCAAGAUUUUUAAGGAUCCUACCAAGAAAAAGGUUAUGCACGGAGCAGAUAAGGAUAUUUUGUGGCUGCAACGAGAUUUCGGCAUAUAUGUUUGACACUGGACAGGCCUCGCGGGUGUUGAAUUUGGAGAGAAAUUCUCUGGAGUUUCUGUUGCUGCAUCUCU
Cynara cardunculus var. scolymus (artichoke) is the source of this 241-nucleotide long non-coding RNA. RefSeq lists it as uncharacterized. The record is from RefSeq and is a predicted model, not a curated record. The transcript is spliced from 3 exons. NCBI's taxonomy places the organism in Eukaryota, Viridiplantae, Streptophyta, Magnoliopsida, Asterales, Asteraceae.